AUGUUUCAGACAGUUACCUCCUGACCUAUUGUGGUCACAGUAAAGGGACGGUUUACAGACCACAGAGAGCACAGUGAGGACAACCUCAUCAGUCCACUUUACCAAACAAUGUUCUCUGAUUUUCAAAAAUGGAAAAAAUGGGCAAUUAGAGAAAGUGGGUGAUGGCAAAACAAGGACACAGGUAUUGCAACACCAACAGAGAGCUGGGCUAGUGUACAGAAAGGCUGAAGGGUCUGAGGGGAAGUGUCAACCCAGGAGGAAGAACACAGUGUCAACUAACCUGACCUCUCAGAGCUCCUAAGGACUAAGCCACCAACCAAAGAACAUAUAUGAGCUGCCUCGUGGCCCCUACUACAUAUGUAGCACGUGACUACCUUGUCUGGCCUCAGUGGGAGAGGAUGCUCUUAAUCCUCUAGAAGCUUGAUGCCCUCCAAAGGGAGAAGAUAGCAGCAUUGAGGUGGUAGUGGGUGGGGGGAACAUCCUCUCAGAGGCAAAGGUGGGGAGGGGGUAAAGAACUUGUGGAGGGGAACCAGAAAGGGGGCAACAUUUGAAUGUAAAUAAAGAAAAAUUUAUAACAAAAA
Molecule: non-coding RNA, 581 nt
Organism: Rattus norvegicus (Norway rat)
Lineage: Eukaryota; Metazoa; Chordata; Mammalia; Rodentia; Muridae
Source: RefSeq, a predicted model, not a curated record